UCUUUUUUAACUCUUAAAUGUUUUUUUGUUUGUUUCUGAAAACACAGAGAUUUAAUUCAAAGGGCAACUGGAACAAUCACUUCAUAAUAAAACAGUUAUUACAUGUGCACUCCUUAUCCUUAAUAUACUGCCUUGCUUCGGACGAGGAAUCAAAAAAGGAACACCAAGGAAAGAUGGGAAACCAAGAGAAAAUUGUACAUUAGCUUAUUCAUAAGCUGAUUCACUUUCGAGGUCCUCAGGCAUCGUGGUAUACUCCUCUUUCAUAAUCUAAAGAAUCCUCAGCGACACUUUUCAACACACUACAGAAAACAAUGUUUAAGGGGUUUCAGAAAUACC
Hydractinia symbiolongicarpus is the source of this 336-nucleotide long non-coding RNA. RefSeq lists it as uncharacterized. The record is from RefSeq and is a predicted model, not a curated record. NCBI's taxonomy places the organism in Eukaryota, Metazoa, Cnidaria, Hydrozoa, Anthoathecata, Hydractiniidae. The transcript is spliced from 3 exons.